This is a long non-coding RNA of Xyrauchen texanus (razorback sucker), 1535 nucleotides long. RefSeq lists it as uncharacterized. The transcript is spliced from 3 exons. The record is from RefSeq and is a predicted model, not a curated record. Lineage: Eukaryota; Metazoa; Chordata; Actinopteri; Cypriniformes; Catostomidae.
CGGAGGUGGAGAGAUAACGACCGCAUCCAGUAAAGACACAAAGACGGAAAGGCAUCGUUAUGAAGAUGCAUCUUUAAAAAGACUUUCACUUCAAUGUGUUUGCUCAUAAGGCAGUCUACAGGUUGCUGCUGUGUUUGCAUCAACCUACAGGCCUUGGAGGGGAGUGAUGGUCGAUUCCUGCCAGGUGGAGGAGUUUUGCGGGCACAGGUGCACCGCAACAGCCUUAUCCACCUGAGGGAGUUCCGUGUAUCUGUGGACCGCCCCACCAUCAAGGGCAGUGAGAGCGAGGAAAAGCAGACAAGCGAGGAUGUCUGUUUCAGGCAGUAAAAGGUGCCCUCCACGACUUUGUCAACUCAUCGUGCACCUCCGGGAAGAAAGGGUUCCAAUCCAGCCCAACACUCGCUGUGUCCUGGGCAAGCAUAGUGGACAGCUCAGCCUCAGACUGGGCGGAUCUGACCAAGAAAGUAUAGCCCAAGAGGAUUCGGUGGACUGACCAGGCCGAGAAAGCAUUCACCUGCCUAAAACAGGCCCUCAUCUCAGAACCAGUCUUAUACACUCCAGAUUUCUCUUUCCCGUUUGUACUCCAGACUGACAUCUCCAAAACAGAAAUUAGGGCUGUCCUACUUCCAGGGAGAGGAGCAUCCCGUGGUCUUCAUUAGCCAAAAAAUAUAGGACAACACUUUGGGAGGUCAGCCCUGGCAACCACCACCAUGACAACACUCACUCAAGGAGAGCUGUGUGAUUGGGAGCACCUGAAUCUCCUCAGCCCAAUUAACUGGGUCAGAUAGAAGGCAGAGGAAAACUCAAAUAAGGGGUGCAGAGGCUCCAGAAGAGACACUUAUGAUUUUUGUCUUUGUUCAUUGCCAAAACGGACUAGGAUUGCUCCCAACAUGCACUUUCACAAAGCAUCCACCCCAGCACAGAGCCUACACUUCCCUCUCUGCACAGCCAAAAUAACAUUCCCCUGCUCAUUACUUUUGUUGCCAAUAAACGGCCCCUCCGGUGUAAUUAAAAUCGUAUCUCCUGUCUGAGCCUCAUUCCCAACCUGCCACAAAAAGCAUAGUUUGUUGAAGUUAAUGUAUCUUAUUUAGAAACUGUCCUUGGUAAUGUUUGUGGAAAAAAUUAUACAUUUCACGUACGAUAUGUGUUAUUUUUAACCUGCAUUUUAAUUUACAUAAUUUAAGUAAUUGUGUAUUAAUUCUUUGUGUGUUAGAGACCUCGACUACAAAAUUACAAUCAUAAAAAUUCUCAUCCCUACAAUCCACACUGAUAUGUGCUGAACAAAUAUAAUCCAAUGCACAGUGAAACAUGAUACACAAACAUAUCAUCCUGCUCUGAUGCAAUCAGGAUCUUUUCUGAUGUUGGGAUGCUUCAAAAAGGUCAAAUCAGAGACACUGGUUUUUGAAGGUGCAACAUCUCACGUCUUCCAUCGUCCCUUGUACCCUGGUAUCAAUACUAAAUCGAUACUAUAGUCAACAAAUAAAAAGCCUCACAUUUUUAUGAAAUUACAUAGAAAAUGACUUGAUUAAAAGAAC